AGUUAACGCUGGCGGCGUGCCUAACACAUGCAAGUCGAGCGAGCUUGUAGCAAUACAAGUUAGCGGCAAACGGGUGAGUAACACAUGGGAAACCUCCCUCAGAAUGGGGAACAUCUCCGAGAAAUCGGAGCUAAUACCGCAUAAGACCACAGUCCGGCAUCGGACAGGGGUAAAAGCAGCAAUGCGUUUUGAGAUGGUCCUGUGUCCUAUCAGCUAGUUGGUGAGGUAACGGCUCACCAAGGCUAAGACGGGUAUCCGGCCUGAAAGGGUGAACGGACACACUGGAACUGAGACACGGUCCAGACUCCUACGGGAGGCAGCAGUGGGGAAUUUUGGACAAUGGGGGAAACCCUGAUCCAGCGACGCCGCGUGAAGGAUGAAGGCCUUCGGGUUGUAAACGUUCUUUUGGUAGGGGACGGAAUAAAUUGACGGUACCCUCAGAAAAGACCACGGCUAACUACGUG
This 464-nucleotide ribosomal RNA is filed under the name uncultured bacterium. RNAcentral describes it as "bacterial SSU rRNA". It matches the Rfam family "Bacterial small subunit ribosomal RNA", at positions 29 to 507 of the family's 1533-position model. The record is from RNAcentral.